This 428-nucleotide long non-coding RNA is filed under the name Brassica rapa (field mustard). Its description in RNAcentral is "long non-coding RNA (BRAP_LNC001969)". The record is from RNAcentral. Lineage: Eukaryota; Viridiplantae; Streptophyta; Magnoliopsida; Brassicales; Brassicaceae.
UUCAAGUAAUUAUAAUUAGACUACAUGAUAAAGAUUCUGCUAAUUAUAUUUUAAUUUCAAAACAUCACGUCAUUAGACUACAUGAUAGAGGAUCCGCUAAUCAAAUGCCAUGUAAAUAUAUGAUUUCCCAUCCUACAGAUGUUGUGAACUAGACACUUGAAGAAAUGAAAACUUAAUGAGCCAAUUAAUUAAUCAAUUAGGAGUCUGGAUAUAGUUGGGAAAAUAAUUAUGCGUAAAUAUAACACUACUAUAAAAAGAUCACAUUACUGAAAAUAAAAUCAAAAACAAAAGUAUCACGUUAUUGGACGGUACUACUACGGUAGUCAUCACGUGUAAAAAAUGUCAAUUACGUGGAAAUGUACCAACUUGGUUAUCCAAUCAGAAAAAAAUAGAAAACGAUAUUAUUAAAUAUAAAUCACGCAACCAAU